Molecule: ribosomal RNA, 253 nt
Filed under: uncultured bacterium
Lineage: Bacteria
Description: partial 16S ribosomal RNA
Rfam family: Bacterial small subunit ribosomal RNA
Source: RNAcentral
UACGUAGGGGGCAAGCGUUGUCCGGAAUUAUUGGGCGUAAAGAGCGCGUAGGCGGUCCGGUAAGUCGGUUGUGAAAGUCGGGGGCUCAACCCUCGGAUGCCGAUCGAUACUGUCGGGCUAGAGUCCGGAAGAGGCGAGUGGAAUUCCUGGUGUAGCGGUGAAAUGCGCAGAUAUCAGGAGGAACACCUAUAGCGAAGGCAGCUUGCUGGGACGUUACUGACGCUAAGGCGCGAAAGCGUGGGGAGCGAACAGG